UGACAGUUAUGAUAUGUCGAAUGAGUCGGCCGACUAUGCGUCGGGGGUUGACUGUUGGUUGAAAACUUUGAAAUACCGACGAUCGAAGUAGUCCGCUGUCUGUAGUGUCUGAACAUCGGUCGUUUGUUGAUCUUGAGUCGAUGAGAUGUGUUCGAUUGGUCGGUUGAGAGUAGUGUCGGUCUGCUUGAUCAAUGUUCGGUCGGUAGUCACUUUCAGGAUCAUGUCUGUUUGUGGG
This 235-nucleotide long non-coding RNA is filed under the name Elaeis guineensis (African oil palm). RNAcentral's name for it is "long non-coding RNA (EGUI_LNC022726)". The record is from RNAcentral. Lineage: Eukaryota; Viridiplantae; Streptophyta; Magnoliopsida; Arecales; Arecaceae.